AGAUUAAGUUACAAAGGGCGCACGGUGGAUGCCUUGGCACUAGGAGCCGAUGAAGGACGGAACGAACACCGAUAUGCUCCGGGGAGCUGUAAGCAAGCUUGGAUCCGGAGAUUUCCGAAUGGGGAAACCCACUGCCAGUAAUGGGGCAGUAUCCUGUACUGAAUACAUAGGUGCAGGAAGGCAGACCCGGGGAACUGAAACAUCUUAGUACCCGGAGGAAGAGAAAGAAAAUUCGAUUCCCCAAGUAGCGGCGAGCGAAACGGGAAGAGCCCAAACCAGAAGGCUUGCCUUCUGGGGUUGUAGGACACUCUAUACGGAGUUACAAAGGAAUGUGGUAGGCGAAGCGGCCUGGAAAGGCCCGCCAGAGAAGGUAACAGCCCUGUAAUCGGCACUUCAUUCCCUCCAGAGUGGAUCCUGAGUACGGCGGGACACGAGGAAUCCCGUCGGAAUCCGGGAGGACCAUCUCCCAAGGCUAAAUACUCCCUAGUGACCGAUAGUGAACCAGUACCGUGAGGGAAAGGUGAAAAGCACCCCGGAAGGGGAGUGAAAUAGAUCCUGAAACCGUGUGCCUACAAGUAGUCAGAGCACUAUAAGUGUGAUGGCGUGCCUUUUGUAGAAUGAACCGGCGAGUUGCGAUUUCAUGCAAGGUUAAGCUGAAGAGGCGGAGCCGCAGCGAAAGCGAGUCUGAAUAGGGCGUAUGAGUAUGAGGUCGCAGACCCGAAACCAGGUGAUCUACCCAUGUCCAGGGUGAAGGUCAGGUAACACUGACUGGAGGCCCGAACCCACGUAUGUUGAAAAAUGCGGGGAUGAGGUGUGGGUAGGGGUGAAAUUCCAAUCGAACCUGGAGAUAGCUGGUUCUCUCCGAAAUAGCUUUAGGGCUAGCCUCAAGGUAAGAGUAUUGGAGGUAGAGCACUGUUUGGACUAGGGGCCCUCAUCGGGUUACCGAAUUCAGACAAACUCCGAAUGCCAGAUACUCAUCCUUGGGAGUCAGACUGCGAGUGAUAAGAUCCGUAGUCGAGAGGGAAACAACCCAGACCGCCAGCUAAGGUCCCCAAGUAUACGUUAAGUGGAAAAGGAUGUGGAGUUGCUUAGACAACCAGGAUGUUGGCUUAGAAGCAGCCACCAUUCAAAGAGUGCGNAACCAGGAUGUUGGCUUAGAAGCAGCCACCAUUCAAAGAGUGCGUAAUAGCUCACUGGUCGAGUGACUCUGCGCCGAAAAUGUACCGGGGCUAAACGUAUCACCGAAGCUGUGGAUUGUCUUUAGACAAUGGUAGGAGAGCGUUCCAAGGGCUGUGAAGUCAUUCCGUAAGGAAUGGUGGAGCGCUUGGAAGUGAGAAUGCCGGUAUGAGUAGCGAAAGAAGGGUGAGAAUCCCUUCCACCGAAUGCCUAAGGUUUCCUGAGGAAGGCUCGUCCGCUCAGGGUUAGUCGGGACCUAAGCCGAGGCCGAAAGGCGUAGGCGAUGGACAACAGGUUGAUAUUCCUGUACCGCCUCGUUUCCAUUUGAGUGAAGGGGGGACGCAGUAGGAUAGGGUAAGCGCGCUGUUGGAUUAGCGCGUCCAAGCAGUUAGGCUGGCAAGUAGGCAAAUCCGCUUGCCAUAAGGCUGAGCUGUGAUGGCGAGGGAAAUUUAGUACCGAAGUUCCUGAUUCCACACUGCCAAGAAAAGCCUCUAGCGAGGAAACAGGCGCCCGUACCGCAAACCGACACAGGUAGGCGAGGAGAGAAUCCUAAGGUGAUCGAGAGAACUCUCGUUAAGGAACUCGGCAAAAUGACCCCGUAACUUCGGGAGAAGGGGUGCUCUUUGGGGUGCAAGCCCUGAGGAGCCGCAGUGAAUAGGCCCAGGCGACUGUUUAGCAAAAACACAGGUCUCUGCGAAGCCGCAAGGCGAAGUAUAGGGGCUGACGCCUGCCCGGUGCUGGAAGGUUAAGAGGAGGGCUUAGCGCAAGCGAAGGUCCGAAUUGAAGCCCCAGUAAACGGCGGCCGUAACUAUAACGGUCCUAAGGUAGCGAAAUUCCUUGUCGGGUAAGUUCCGACCCGCACGAAAGGCGCAACGAUCUGGGCACUGUCUCAACGAGAGACUCGGUGAAAUUAUACUAUGCGUGAAGAUGCGCAUUACCCGCGACAGGACGGAAAGACCCCGUGGAGCUUUACUGCACCCUGAUAUUGACUGUCUGUGCAGCUUGUACAGGAUAGGUAGGAGCCUUGGAAACCGGAGCGCCAGCUUCGGUGGAGGCAACGGUGGGAUACUACCCUGGCUGUAUGGACCGUCUAACCCGCACCCGUGAUCCGGGUGGGAGACAGUGUCAGGCAGGCAGUUUGACUGGGGCGGUCGCCUCCUAAAGAGUAACGGAGGCGCCCAAAGGUUCCCUCAGAAUGGUUGGAAAUCAUUCGCAGAGUGCAAAGGCAUAAGGGAGCUUGACUGCGAGACCUACAAGUCGAGCAGGGACGAAAGUCGGGCUUAGUGAUCCGGUGGUUCCGCAUGGAAGGGCCAUCGCUCAACGGAUAAAAGCUACCCCGGGGAUAACAGGCUUAUCUCCCCCAAGAGUUCACAUCGACGGGGAGGUUUGGCACCUCGAUGUCGGCUCAUCGCAUCCUGGGGCUGUAGUCGGUCCCAAGGGUUGGGCUGUUCGCCCAUUAAAGCGGUACGCGAGCUGGGUUCAGAACGUCGUGAGACAGUUCGGUCCCUAUCCGUCGCGGGCGCAGGAAAUUUGAGAGGAGCUGUCCUUAGUACGAGAGGACCGGGAUGGACGCACCGCUGGUGUACCAGUUGUCUUGCCAAAGGCAUCGCUGGGUAGCUAUGUGCGGCAGGGAUAAGUGCUGAAAGCAUCUAAGCAUGAAGCCCCCCUCAAGAUGAGAUUUCCCAUUGCCUGGCUUGCCAGGCAGGUAAGAUCCCUGAAAGACGAUCAGGUAGAUAGGUCCGGUGUGGAAGUGUGGCGACACAUGGAGCUGACGGAUACUAAUCGAUCGAGGACUUAAUCUU
RNAcentral lists this ribosomal RNA (2978 nucleotides) under Siminovitchia acidinfaciens. RNAcentral describes it as "Bacillus sp. 3-2-2 23S ribosomal RNA". It matches the Rfam family "Bacterial large subunit ribosomal RNA". Lineage: Bacteria; Bacillati; Bacillota; Bacilli; Caryophanales; Bacillaceae. The record is from RNAcentral.